RNAcentral lists this ribosomal RNA (459 nucleotides) under uncultured bacterium. RNAcentral describes it as "bacterial SSU rRNA". It matches the Rfam family "Bacterial small subunit ribosomal RNA", at positions 349 to 793 of the family's 1533-position model. The record is from RNAcentral.
CAGCAGUGGGGAAUAUUGCACAAUGGGCGCAAGCCUGAUGCAGCCAUGCCGCGUGUAUGAAGAAGGCCUUCGGGUUGUAAAGUACUUUCAGUCGUGAGGAAGGCGGCGUCGUUAAUAGCGGCGUUGUUUGACGUUAGCGACAGAAGAAAGCACCGGCUAACUCCGUGCCAGCAGCCGCGGUAAUACGGAGGGUGCGAGCGUUAAUCGGAAUUACUGGGCGUAAAGCGCAUGCAGGUGGUUUGUUAAGUCAGAUGUGAAAGCCCGGGGCGUCAACCUCGGAAUUGCAUUUGUAAACUAGGCAGACUAGAGUACUGUAGAGGGGGGUAGGAAUUUCAGGUGUAGCGGUGAAAUAGCGUAGAGAUCUGAAGGAAUACCGGUGGCGAAGGCGGCCCCCUCGGACAGAUACUGACACUCAGAUGCGAAAGCGUGGGGAGCAAACAGGAUUAGAUACCCUGGUAG